AAUAGAUACCCGGGUAGUCCACGCCGUAAACGAUGAACACUAGGUGUAGGGGGUGUCGACUCCCCCUGUGCCGAAGCUAACGCAUUAAGUGUUCCGCCUGGGGAGUACGGCCGCAAGGCUAAAACUCAAAGGAAUUGACGGGGGGCCCGCACAAGCAGCGGAGCAUGUGGUUUAAUUGGACGCAACGCCAAGAACCUUACCCGGGCUUGACAUGUUCCUGACCGGCCUGGAAACAGGUCUUCCCUUCGGGGCAGGAUCACAGGUGGUGCAUGGCUGUCGUCAGCUCGUGUCGUGAGAUGUUGGGUUAAGUCCCGCAACGAGCGCAACCCCCGUCGCAUGUUGCCAGCAUUAAGUUGGGGACUCAUGCGAGACUGCCGGUGACAAACCGGAGGAAGGUGGGGAUGACGUCAAGUCAUCAUGCCCCUUAUGUCCGGGGCUACACACGUGCUACAUUGGCGCGUACAGAGGGCUGCGAUACCGCGAGGUGGAGCGAAUCCCUUAAAGCGCGUCUCGGUUCGGAUUGCAGGCUGAAACUCG
This 537-nucleotide ribosomal RNA is filed under the name uncultured bacterium. Its description in RNAcentral is "bacterial SSU rRNA". It matches the Rfam family "Bacterial small subunit ribosomal RNA", at positions 777 to 1314 of the family's 1533-position model. The record is from RNAcentral.